Long non-coding RNA from Xyrauchen texanus (razorback sucker), 2001 nucleotides. RefSeq lists it as uncharacterized. Lineage: Eukaryota; Metazoa; Chordata; Actinopteri; Cypriniformes; Catostomidae. The record is from RefSeq and is a predicted model, not a curated record. The transcript is spliced from 8 exons.
UAUGGUUACAUUAAAAAAACUUUAUAAUUAUAUAAAAUGUAUCAAAUAUAAUUUAUUAAAAUGUAUGAAACGUAUAAUUCUUAAAAUAUGUUAAUGUAUGGUAUUUGCUUUUUUUCUGGUAAGAAUAAAAUCUUAGUCUGUACCGCCCUCUAUUGAACAGUUUGCGCAUGCGCGCUUUAGGCACAUUAAUACGAUGAUCGCGCUGAACGCUCAUCCAUCACGCUCCGCUUCCUCACACAGACUCUUGUCCAUUCAGUAGACUGACAUGUUUUGUAUAGUUUUAAAGCCAAACACACCGUUAAAAUUCCGCUAGUAGAAUUAAAAUAUCAACUUAAAAUUAACGCAGGACUGAAUUUUAACAAGGACAUAGGACCUAUCCUACAUUUAAUAGCAACUAAUGGCUGAAGCCCGAUAUGAGGAUUUGGAUGAAACUAUUCCAAAUGUUAGCAUUACGAGGACAAGAGAUUCAACAGGUAAGAGAUUCAAUAUAUAUAUUAGGGUCUAAACAUAUGUCUGAAUUAUGAAGAGAUUACAUGUUUCAUUAAUUAAUUUAUUAUUAUAUACUACAGUGAUUAUUUGUCAUGGUGGGUUUAUUUUUAAAAGACAUUAAAGUCUUGGCUACACAAAGCAAUUGAACAUUUCCUCCGUUUUUGCCAAGGUAAAAAAUAUAACAAACCAGUGGCCCCCCUGAUAGCAAUAGACUCCGGGGCGGAUCCGCCCUCCCCCAAGCCGCCAGGUCCGCUGUUCUCUCAGACUCAAUUCGGCCAUGCGCACAGAAUAUGCCCCGCCUACAGACAGCGCACUGUCAACUCGCGGACUCACUACAGACGCUGGGCGGAUUCGCUGACUGAACGCGCCUAUUUUCAACCGUCACCAUCACUGAAUCAUUCUCCACAGUGGAAAAGCUGCUGCCGUCAGUUCAGCGAGGACGGAACACGCUUACAGUUAGUUCAAGUGCCACCAGUUUUUUUGGAGUUUCAUCUUUUCCAUUCAUCUGAGUAAGCUUACAGUUCGUUCAAGUGCCACCAGUCUGGUUUUGGAGUUUCAUCUUUUCCAUUCAUCUGAGUAAAAUGACUACUUUGAGGCACGACAACUCUUGAAGAAAUCUCUGAUGUGUAACACAUCAGAUCUACAGUCUGAAGAGGAAGAGGAGGAGAUUCGGCCAAAAAGAAGGCCAAAGCCGAUUCAUUUCUUGGGAGACUCUGAUGACAGCGAGGAGGAAGGUACUCAGAAAAAGAGAGCCAGGGGUCCAGGCAAACUUUUAACACAACCACCAGCCCUGUUAUCUCACCACCACCUUUUAUCCCAAGUAGCGGCACAGUUGCUCCACCUCCACCCAUUUCACCACCUCACUUUUCACAGAGGCCAGCAGAAGAGCAAACUCCUUCAGCAAGCAGGGUCUACAGACCUACCUGGCGGGGGGGAAGAUGUGGAUCAGACAGUAUUGCCUGCUUUGCUGCAGAAAUCCACAUAAUGAGCUUGCUGGAAUUAAUAAAACAUCAACAAGAGCAAAUCAUGUCAAAAGUUAAUUAUUUGAUGAGCAAGUUGAACCCAGCAGGCCAAGACAUGGAAAUGGCUGACAACCCAGUUGAGUUUCCAUUAACAUCAAUGGAAGAAGUUGAGAAUUUUGAGGAGUGACUCAAAAAUCCCGCAAAUCCUCAAACAAAGUGUAGUGUGGUGAUUUCCAAAUCUCAUUAAGGUAUUUCCUCCCUGGCAACUAUUGGGGGCCAUGACACCAAACGUGUCACAUGGAACAUCCUUUCCCGUAUGUUCCAUGACGAUGUUGGGAGGAGGAUCAAUUGGAAGGGCAUGAAUGGGAAAAAAUCAUUCAAUCAGAUGGAGUCUAAAAAGUUACUCCUGUGUGCUGUGAGAAAGAGCCAUGUCUCCCGUGCCGCCACUGAUGACGAGAUUACGAAGAAUGUAAUACGGUGGUUCAACCUGGCAGCAGAUAGGGGCAGCUCAAGGAGCCGUCCCACUGUCAGCAUCCUGACCCAACAGUAG